UUUCAUGUGCUCAGAGAGAAGAGUCUUUAUUUUUCAGAUGGGAGUGACAUCGAGAGUCAUUUGGCAGCCCAGUAGGACACUAAAUGACUUGGUGCUGCUGUGAAGGAAGAAAGGAAGACACACAUUGAAAACCAACUUCAGGUGUGAUGCCGGGUGUCCUUUGCCAGUUCAUGCUAAAGGCUAGAAACUGUUAGAAUAACAAAUACCUCAAGGGAGUGCUAGGAAUGAGCCUGAUCCACAAAACGCAUACUGCCCAAGCAUAAAGGCCUGAGUUCAAGUCCCAGAGCCAUGGAAAAAAGCCGACUGUGAGCUGGGUGUGUGUUAAUUCUUUAAUUCUAGCACUCAGAAGGCAGAAGCAGGCGGCUCUCCAUGAGUUCUAGACCAGCCUGGUCUACAGAGUGAGGCCUGGUCUACAGAGUGAGUACAGGACAGGCAGGGCAUAGAGAAACCAUGUCUCAAACAAACAAACAAACAAACAUACAAACAAACAAACAAACAAACAAACAAAAAACAAAAAAAAGACAAAAGACAAAAAACAAAAACAAAACCGAAACCAAACCAAACCAAAAAUGGUGUGCUUAUAAUCUCAGCACUGGGGAAACAGAGACAGGGAUUUGCUGGCCAAAACUGGCUAAGUGAGACCUUCAGGUGGCAUGUCAGUGAGAUAUUGUCUCAUCUAAAAACAAAGAAGAAACAAGGGGCUGGUGAGAUGGCUCAGUGGGUCAAGUUGCCUGCUGCCAAGCCUGACCACCCGAGUUCGAUCCCUGGGUCCUACUUGGGGGAGAAGAGAGGCAACUCUCUAGAGCUGUCCCUUUCCUCCACAGGGAGGCCCAGUGUGGGCCGCCACACAGACAACCUGCAUACGAAAUAGAUGAAUGAAAAUGUAGUAAAUUGUAAAACAAAACCAAGGUGGAGAACUCCUGAAGAACACACAUGCAUGCGAGUACACACACACACACACACACACACACACACACCCCUAAAACUCUCACAGUGGAGAAAAGGGAAACUUGCAUGAGAACACAGUAAACGCCAGCCUUUGUAGAGGAGAGUGGUAAAUGUUACUGAACUAUUAAACAUCUUUGAAAGACUUAUUUUUAUUUUAUGUGUAUGAGUGUGAGCCUGAAUGUCUGUUUGUCUGUCUGUAUGCCAUGUGUGUGCAGAGCCUUUGAGGCUGGAAAAGGGCGUUGGAUCACCUGGAAUUAGAGUUACAGGUGGUUGUGAGUCACCAUGUCAGUCUUGGAAACCCAGGUUCUCUGUAAGGGCAGCCAGUGCUCUUAACCACUGAGCUAUCUCUCUAGUCCCAACCAUCAAAAUUUUAAGUAUGUCUUAAUCCCAACACAAAUUGUGUAGGACAGAGAUGGAGAAAAUUUAAUAAGAAACCAGCUUUGGCAAGGUGUGGUGUUGCAGGCCUUUAAUUGGGUGUUGUACUACUUGGGAGGCUGAGGCAGGCAGAUCUCUGUGAAAUUGGGGUUAGCCUGGUCUACAUAAUGAGUUCCAGGCCAGCCAGGGCUGUAUAGUGAGAUCCUAGCUCAAAAAAUACAAAGCCAUAAAGAAAGAAAGAGGAAGAAACUCAGCAUCUGACUUCCAGGAAGGCACUGCGCACAGAGCACAUUGCCUGUUUCCUACUAAAAACCUUUCCUCACCCUACGUUAGAGCUACGUGCCCUGGGUGCAGCUGGAGCCACCGCUACCAAUUGUGUGAGGAAUUAUGGGAGCACUGUCUCACCUAUGCUUUAGCAGCCUUUCAAAGUAGUAGCCACAUUUGGAUGGGCUGGAGAGAUGGCUCAGCAGUUAAGAGCAUUGACUGCUCUUCUAGAGGUCCUGAGUUCAAUUCCCAGCAACCACAUGGUGGCUCACAACCAUCUAAUAGCAUCCAAUGCCCUUGUCUGAAGACAGCUAUAGAAUACUUAUAUAUGUAAAAUAAAAAAAUCUUUAAGG
Molecule: long non-coding RNA, 1940 nt
Filed under: Mus musculus (house mouse)
Lineage: Eukaryota; Metazoa; Chordata; Mammalia; Rodentia; Muridae
Description: long non-coding RNA chr9:73056748-73058688
Source: RNAcentral